Molecule: ribosomal RNA, 524 nt
Filed under: uncultured bacterium
Lineage: Bacteria
Description: partial 16S ribosomal RNA
Rfam family: Bacterial small subunit ribosomal RNA
Source: RNAcentral
GACGAACGCUGGCGGCGUGCUUAACACAUGCAAGUCGAACGAGACGAUUGGAAGCUUGCUCUUAAAAGUCGAGUGGCGAACGGGUGAGUAACGCGUAGACAACCUGCCUUUGAGAUGGGGACAACAGUUCGAAAGGACUGCUAAUACCGAAUGUUGUAUAUUUUCCACAUGGAAGAUAUAUUAAAGAUGGCCUCUAUUUAUAAGCUAUCGCUCAAAGAUGGGUCUGCGUCUGAUUAGCUGGUUGGUGGGGUAACGGCCUACCAAGGCGACGAUCAGUAGCCGGUCGGAGAGGAUGAACGGCCACAUUGGGACUGAGACACGGCCCAGACUCCUACGGGAGGCAGCAGUGGGGAAUCUUCCACAAUGGACGAAAGUCUGAUGGAGCAACGCCGCGUGAGUGAAGAAGGGUUUCGGCUCGUAAAGCUCUGUUGUCGGGGACGAAUGUGCAGUAUUUGAAUAAAGUACUGUAAUGACGGUACCUGACGAGGAAGCCACGGCUAACUACGUGCCAGCCGCCGCAGUAA